Molecule: ribosomal RNA, 463 nt
Filed under: uncultured bacterium
Lineage: Bacteria
Description: partial 16S ribosomal RNA
Rfam family: Bacterial small subunit ribosomal RNA
Source: RNAcentral
GAUGAACGCUGACAGAAUGCUUAACACAUGCCGGUCGAUGGGGCAGUGGUGCUUGCACCUUGUCAACCAUGGCGGACGGGUGAGUAACUCGUAAGUGACUUACCUGCAUGACUGGGUUAACAGGGUUAAACUCCUGACAAGACCGGAUAGUGUCAUUGAGCUGCAUGGCUUUUUGAUGAAAGGAGACGCCUGCGGAGAGCCUUGCGUCCUAUUAGCUGGUUGGUGAGGUAAUGGCUCACCAAGGCGAAGAUAGGUAGCCGGCCUGAGAGGGUGGACGGCCACAAGGGGAAUGAGAUACGGCCGUUACUAAUACGGGAGGAAGGAGUGGGGAAUAUUGGAGAAUGGGGGCAACCCUGAUCAAGCAAUUCUGUGUGUACGAAGAAGGUUUUCGGAUUGUAAAGAGGUUUCAGCAGGGAAGAAGUAAGUGACGGUACCUGAAGAAGAAGCGACGGCUAAAUACGUG